This 492-nucleotide ribosomal RNA is filed under the name uncultured bacterium. RNAcentral describes it as "partial 16S ribosomal RNA". It matches the Rfam family "Bacterial small subunit ribosomal RNA", at positions 29 to 507 of the family's 1533-position model. The record is from RNAcentral.
AGUGAACGCUGGCGGUAGGCCUAACACAUGCAAGUCGAACGGCAGCACAGUAAGAGCUUGUUCUUACGGGUGGCGAGUGGCGGACGGGUGAGGAAUACAUCGGAAUCUACUUUUUCGUGGGGGAUAACGUAGGGAAACUUACGCUAAUACCGCAUACGACCUACGGGUUAAAGCAGGGGAUCUUCGGACCUUGCGCGAAUGAAUUAGCCGAUGUCGGAUUAGCUAGUUGGCGGGGUAAUGGCCCACCAAGGCGACGAUCCGUAGCUGGUCUGAGAGGAUGAUCGGCGACACUGGAACUGGGACACGGUCCAGACUCCUACGGGAGGCAGCAGUGGGGAAUAUUGGACAAUGGGCGCAAGCCUGAUCCAGCCAGACCGCGUGGGUGAAGAAGGCCUUCGGGUUGUAAAGCCCUUUUGUUGGGAAAGAAAAGCAGCAGGUUAAUACGCCGCUGUUCUGACGGUACCCAAAGAAUAAGCACCGGCUAACUUCGUG